CACAGAAGUACACGGCUGCCACCUGUCUUUUUUCUCUCCACCGAAAGUUCCCAAUAAACCCAAAAUUCAAAAUUUUGGAACCAGAAAUCAAGUAAAUUAAAUCAAAUGAGCGAAGAGUCAAAGAGAAGCGGCGGCGGAGACUGGCAUCCCAAGAAGACUGGAAGUCCUCAACUGGGUCUACCUCCAUCGGAAAGAAAGUCAUCAUAAAGAGCGUCGACAUUAAAGAGGACAUUCAGAAAGAAGUUGUUGACAUUGUCAUAAUUAUAAAUUGUUUUCAUUUCACUCAAAAUAAGAAAAAAAAUAAGCAAAGCUCACUAAUUUUUUCUCCUUGUUUUUGGGUGUUUUUUUAAUAUCUUGAUUUCCGUUUAUUGAAAAGCAUUGUUUUUGACAUAUAGUUUCACAUAUAUAAUUAUGUGUUUUUGCGUGUAGGCUUUUGAGAAGUAUAAUGUAGAGAAGGAUGUAGCAAAGCACAUAAAAAAAUGUUUGGCAAGAAGUAUGGACCUACUUGGCUACAUUGUGGGCAAGAACUUCAGUAAGAAUUAAUAUACUUGUACAAUGAUGGUUGACAAUGUUUGAUGCGUUAAAAUCGGUACAGUUGAUUUAAAAAGAUAGUUUUUGAAAUGGAUGAAUAUGAUAUGCCAAAUUAUGAUUGUCAACAAAUCUUCUUAACCAUCAUUGUCCUUGUAGCAUCUCUCUUAACAAUAAUUUAUUCUUGAGAAAUAAGUAUAUUGACUAAAGGAGCGAUCUUUGUUUUAUAUCUUUGUAUAUAUUCUGGUAUAUUAUGUUUUGUUAUCUUUUAUCUCUUAUAUAUUAAUUGUUGUUCAAUUACUUGUUUGCUUAGAGCAUGGAUCUAAUAAAUAACGAGUUAGAAGGUAGAAAAAAGUUAAUUUCAUACCAUUCCGGGGUAUUGGUAUCUUGAUAAGACCUGAACUUGUAUAGAAUGUUACUUGGUUGUAAUGAAUUCUAGCCUCAGCAUUAGAUUCAGAAAUGAUUUUGCCAAGGCUCCAAUUCCAUGCUGUCAGACAUCACAUAGCAUAAUUUUUGCA
RNAcentral lists this long non-coding RNA (1046 nucleotides) under Olea europaea subsp. europaea. Lineage: Eukaryota; Viridiplantae; Streptophyta; Magnoliopsida; Lamiales; Oleaceae. The record is from RNAcentral.